ACUCCACCGGCGUAGGAAAUUGAGUAAACACUACACUGGAAACCUCGGAAAACUAAUACAUCGUCACCAUUGACAUUAUACGUAGAAGACGUCUGCAAGACUGCAACAAAAAAUCUCGUAGGUGCUUCGCAAUGGCCGCGCUAAAAUACCCGUGCAAAAUUGUUGAAACUGAAGAAAGACCGAUGAAAACUUGGGAAACGAAAGAGUAGGGACCUAGAUGAUUCACGAGUGAGGAAACUGCCUCAGAUAACGCGUUUCACCAAAAUUUGACACGUAUUUCAACCUGAUAAAAAAUCUUCUUCGCCGCAUACAGACAUCAACAAACUGUGGGAAUUUUGCUUUUGUGAGUCAUAAACUGAAUGGUGCUGCGCUCUUGUGGACAUAUUUACAAGUUUCAUGGAUGAAGUUUUUCUUAUGUUUCUAAAGUUCUCCCACAGGUAGCGUUAACAAUAACAUUUGAGCUUUUGUAGUCCCCAAGAGAAGAUUGCUCCAAGUCGUAAUAUGAUUGGGAGAGCUGGCGCCUUUUUUAAGCAUUUUCCCGGGUCACUUUUUCGAUACAUGACGGAUUGUUUUCGCGGGUACUCCGCUGCGUGAGGUAAACAAACACCUGUUAGAUUUCCGGAUUUCGUGUGAUUUCGAUUUCUCUUCUCUUCAAUUUCGUGAAUUUUACCGUUGUUAAUGUUGAAAAUGUUCUCCAGUAAUUGUGUAAUAAUCCUCACUGACUGCCACAGCAAAAUCAUGCGCGGUUGUUGCAUCCAAGGAUGUCCAUCCGGGAGGAAAGCAGGACAGAACACAACCUUCUUGCUACACAAAAUCGAGAAGGAGCUAAUUUAUCAGUUGCUGCGCCUCAGGAUUGUCAAAUCUUCUCAGAAAUCGUCUGCAAGAGCUGAGGUGACAAAAAGUAAAAAUCAACCAAUGCUUAUCGACUUAAAGUAAUUGAAUUAAAUUAUCUGAAAAUCGCGUCAAAAGAUAUUCAAGCGGUGAUUCUUAGUGCGUUUGGACAUUAUCGCGAUCGUCGUAAAUUUGUUGUUUAUCGGUCUUUCGUGAAAUAUAGUGUAAUUAUUUUCCAUCCGGGAGAUAAAAAACUACCUUCCGCAUUGAGUGAAAACAACGGUAGCAAAGAAUAAAAAAAAUGUAUCAGAAUCUCCGACGUCUGCCCUGUGAAGAGAACCGCACGUGAACCAAAACUUUCAAGGCAACCUGUUCGAACCAGUGGUGAGAAAUGAAUUAUUUUCGCAUGUCUGCAUGCUUUCUUUUACCUCAUUUAAUUAUCUAUGUAUUCUCCUUUCAUCCACCUGAAACUAUCUUACUCUAUAAUAUAAAAUCAUGAGAGCAACCCUUAACGCUCGAGUCUGAGAAAAAUUAAGACUGAGUAUUUGAUACAAGAGCAUAGAAAAUUGUUCUGAAAAUAUUCCAAAA
RNAcentral lists this long non-coding RNA (1419 nucleotides) under Bemisia tabaci. RNAcentral's name for it is "lncRNA ENSSSA1UGG008588". Lineage: Eukaryota; Metazoa; Arthropoda; Insecta; Hemiptera; Aleyrodidae. The record is from RNAcentral.